RNAcentral lists this ribosomal RNA (423 nucleotides) under uncultured bacterium. Its description in RNAcentral is "bacterial SSU rRNA". It matches the Rfam family "Bacterial small subunit ribosomal RNA", at positions 355 to 775 of the family's 1533-position model. The record is from RNAcentral.
UAAGGAAUAUUGGACAAUGGCCGCAAGGCUGAUCCAGCCAUGCCGCGUGCAGGAUGAAGGUGCUCUGCAUUGUAAACUGCUUUUGUUCGGGAAUAAACCUCUUCACGUGUGAAGAGUUGAAUGUACCGAAAGAAUAAGGGACGGCUAACUUCGUGCCAGCAGCCGCGGUAAUACGAAGGUCCCAAGCGUUAUCCGGAUUUAUUGGGUUUAAAGGGUGCGUAGGCGGAUUAUUAAGUCAGUGGUGAAAGCUUCCAGCUUAACUGGAAAACUGCCAUUGAUACUGAUGAUCUUGAGUAUGAUUGAAGUGGGCGGAAUGUGUCAUGUAGCGGUGAAAUGCUUAGAUAUGACACAGAACACCGAUUGCGAAGGCAGCUCACUAAGCCAUAACUGACGCUGAGGCACGAAAGCGUGGGGAGCAAACAG